ACGAACGAUUCAACGGCAUAAUUUGCCGGAAAACAAAAUUACCACAAUGCUUCUUUCUCUUUUCCUUCUCUGAGAUCUGAUCUUUCUUUCUCAAUUACCUCAAAUUUCUCCAUUUUCAAUGGCGUAUUGAAGAAGAAGAAAAAAGAAAGAGGAAUCACAAGAAGAAGAAGAAGUGUUCUUGGCAUUGGCGGAGGGGUUGUGUUUUGAUUGGGAGGUCGGUCCUCAGGUGAAAGAUCUGAGGUUUUUUUCCCUUUAUUUAUUGUUUUUGAAAGAAAUCAGCAAUCAAUAAAUAAACAAAAUUAAAAAGAAAUGAGCGCUUCGAGGUUUAU
Molecule: unclassified non-coding RNA, 329 nt
Filed under: Hevea brasiliensis (rubber tree)
Lineage: Eukaryota; Viridiplantae; Streptophyta; Magnoliopsida; Malpighiales; Euphorbiaceae
Source: RNAcentral